Cinara cedri is the source of this 470-nucleotide non-coding RNA. The record is from the annotation of a GenBank genome assembly. NCBI's taxonomy places the organism in Eukaryota, Metazoa, Arthropoda, Insecta, Hemiptera, Aphididae.
CAAUGGCGUCAUAAAUCAAUGUGAAUUUAAUAAAGUUGUAAAAAAAAAAUAAAAUACGAAUUUGGAGGGUAUUAACCCAAUAAUUCAUCCCCUGCAAGUAAGACCCAAAAAGAGGGGCGUUUAAAAAUGGAUGCCCCUGGGCGCCAAAUGGCCUAGCACGGCUCUGUGUACAUGAGAAUUUGUUGCCAACGUUAAAAGAAUUAUUUAGAGCAAUUAUUGUGAGACUAGCAAACUUAACAAUUAUUAUUAACCUAUAGGUACCUAUUUAUUUAUUCAGGACAAAACACAACGAGAAAAAAGGAAUUUUUGGGCGGUGGUCGAUUUGUACGGCCAGUGACUAACCAAACUACAGUACGUUUCACGAAACUAACGACUCCGUAGUGGCGCUUCCGGUGGCAGAUUCUCGUGAGGGUUUCCUAAACGCGUGACUAAAAAAGCGCGGUAAUUUAAAAAUGACGCGGCAAUCGACC